This 301-nucleotide ribosomal RNA is filed under the name uncultured bacterium. Its description in RNAcentral is "partial 16S ribosomal RNA". It matches the Rfam family "Bacterial small subunit ribosomal RNA", at positions 509 to 807 of the family's 1533-position model. The record is from RNAcentral.
CAGCAGCCGCGGGAAUACAGAGGGUGCGAGCGUUAAUCGGAUUUACUGGGCGUAAAGCGUGCGUAGGUGGUUUGUUAAGUUGGAUGUGAAAUCCCCGGGCUCAACCUGGGAACUGCAUCCAAAACUGGCAAGCUAGAGUAUGGUAGAGGGUGGUGGAAUUUCCUGUGUAGCGGUGAAAUGCGUAGAUAUAGGAAGGAACACCAGUGGCGAAGGCGACCACCUGGACUGAUACUGACACUGAGGUGCGAAAGCGUGGGGAGCAAACAGGAUUAGAUACCCCCGUAGUCCCUGUCUCUUAUAC